RNAcentral lists this ribosomal RNA (743 nucleotides) under bacterium OM241. RNAcentral describes it as "bacterial SSU rRNA". It matches the Rfam family "Bacterial small subunit ribosomal RNA", at positions 107 to 846 of the family's 1533-position model. The record is from RNAcentral.
UGAGUAACGCGUAGGAAUCUACCCAGUAGUGGGGGACAACUUAGGGAAACUUAAGCUAAUACCGCAUACGCCCUGAGGGGGAAAGCGGGGGAUCUUCGGACCUCGCGCUAUUGGAAGAGCCUGCGUUAGAUUAGCUAGUUGGUGGGGUAAAGGCUCACCAAGGCGACGAUCUAUAGCUGGUCUGAGAGGAUGAUCAGCCACACUGGGACUGAGACACGGCCCAGACUCCUACGGGAGGCAGCAGUGGGGAAUAUUGCGCAAUGGGCGAAAGCCUGACGCAGCCAUGCCGCGUGUGUGAAGAAGGCCUUCGGGUUGUAAAGCACUUUCAAUUGGGAGGAAGGGUUUAACGUUAAUAGCGUUGAAUCUUGACGUUACCUUUAGAAGAAGCACCGGCUAACUCCGUGCCAGCAGCCGCGGUAAUACGGAGGGUGCGAGCGUUAAUCGGAAUUACUGGGCGUAAAGCGCGCGUAGGCGGUUUGUUAAGUCGGAUGUGAAAUCCCCGGGCUCAACCUGGGAACUGCACCCGAUACUGGCCGACUUGAGUGCGAGAGAGGGAGGUAGAAUUCCAUGUGUAGCGGUGAAAUGCGUAGAUAUAUGGAGGAAUACCGGUGGCGAAGGCGGCCUCCUGGCUCGACACUGACGCUGAGGUGCGAAAGCGUGGGUAGCAAACAGGAUUAGAUACCCUGGUAGUCCACGCCGUAAACGAUGUCUACUAGCCGUUGGGGAACUUGAUUCUUUAGUGG